Molecule: ribosomal RNA, 143 nt
Filed under: Paenibacillus xylanilyticus
Lineage: Bacteria; Bacillati; Bacillota; Bacilli; Caryophanales; Paenibacillaceae
Description: partial 23S ribosomal RNA
Rfam family: Bacterial large subunit ribosomal RNA
Source: RNAcentral
CAUCUAAGCGUGAAGCCCCCCUCAAGAUGAGAUUUCCCAGUAUGUAAGACCCCUUGAAGACGACGAGGUAGAUAGGCUGGGGGUGGAAGUGCAGCAAUGCAUGGAGCUGACCAGUACUAAUCGGUCGAGGGCUUAUCCAAGUU